GAUGAAGAACGCAGCGAAAUGCGAUACGUAAUGUGAAUUGCAGAAUUCAGUGAAUCAUCGAAUCUUUGAACGCAUAUUGCGCUCUUUGGUAUUCCGAAGAGCAUGCUUGUUUGAGUAUCAGUAAACACCUCAACCUCUUCUUGAUUUUUCAAAAGGAGGGUGGACUUGAGCUAUCCCAACAACCUUUACCGGUCGGCGGGCGGCUUGAAAUGCAGGUGCAGCUGGACUUUUAUCUGAGCUAAAAGCAUAUCUAUUUAGUCCUCGUCAAACAGGAUUAUUACUUUUGCUGCAGCUAACAUAAAGGAUAAUUGUCCUCUUUGCUGACUGAUGCAGGAUUUUACGACACUUUAUGUGUUGUUUAACUCGAUCUCAAAUCAAGUAAGACUACCCGCUGAACUUAAGCAUAUCAAUAAGCGGAGGA
RNAcentral lists this unclassified non-coding RNA (421 nucleotides) under soil metagenome. Its description in RNAcentral is "partial contains 5.8S ribosomal RNA, internal transcribed spacer 2, and large subunit ribosomal RNA". The stretch from base 1 to 120 matches the Rfam family "5.8S ribosomal RNA", at positions 35 to 154 of the family's 154-position model. The record is from RNAcentral.